CAGCUGGAUGAUAGUCGGGCUGAAGACUCUACUUGACUAGCUGAGAGGAGGUGCAUGGCCGUCGUCAGUUCGUACUGUGAAGCAUCCUGUUAAGUCAGGCAACGAGCGAGACCCACGCCAACAGUUGCCAGCUCGUCCUCCGGGAUGGUGGGGACACUGUUGGGACCGCCUCUGCUAAAGAGGAGGAAGGAAUGGGCAACGGUAGGUCAGCAUGCCCCGAAUUAUCUGGGCUACACGCGGGCUACAAUGGUCAGGACAAUGGGUAUCUACCCCGAAAGGGGACGGGAAUCUCCUAAAACCAAUCUUAGUUCGGAUUGAGGGCUGCAACUCGCCCUCAUGAAGCUGGAAUCCGUAGUAAUCGUGUCUCAAAAUGGCACGGUGAAUAUGUCCCUGCUCCUU
This 399-nucleotide ribosomal RNA is filed under the name uncultured Methanomicrobiales archaeon. RNAcentral describes it as "bacterial SSU rRNA". It matches the Rfam family "Archaeal small subunit ribosomal RNA", at positions 940 to 1338 of the family's 1478-position model. The record is from RNAcentral. Lineage: Archaea; Methanobacteriati; Methanobacteriota; Methanomicrobia; Methanomicrobiales.